Molecule: ribosomal RNA, 253 nt
Filed under: uncultured bacterium
Lineage: Bacteria
Description: partial 16S ribosomal RNA
Rfam family: Bacterial small subunit ribosomal RNA
Source: RNAcentral
UACAGAGGAUGCAAGCGUUAUCCGGAAUGAUUGGGCGUAAAGCGUCUGUAGGUGGCUUUUUAAGUCCGCCGUCAAAUCCCAGGGCUCAACUCUGGACAGGCGGUGGAAACUACCAAGCUGGAGUACGGUAGGGGCAGAGGGAAUUUCCGGUGGAGCGGUGAAAUGCGUAGAGAUCGGGAGGAACACCUGUGGCGAAGGCGGCCGUCUGGGCCGACCCUGACGCUGAGGCGCGAAGGCGUGGGGAGCGAACGGG